This 944-nucleotide long non-coding RNA is filed under the name Ananas comosus (pineapple). RNAcentral describes it as "long non-coding RNA (ACOM_LNC006157)". The record is from RNAcentral. Lineage: Eukaryota; Viridiplantae; Streptophyta; Magnoliopsida; Poales; Bromeliaceae.
UAUUAGUAAAAUAUUAAUAUAAUACCUAUCCAUUCAAACAUAUGAUAACUUUUUUAAAAAUAUUUUUUAAUAUUAAAAUAAUAAUUAAAUUAUUUUUUUCGAUGAUUAGUACAGGUGGGUUGAAAUAAAAAAUUUUAGAAUGCAAUAGAUAUAUUAGUAAUGUGGCGCAACAAAUCAAUCAAAUGUCUUCUUUUAGGAGUAUAUGUCUCAUUAAAAUUAUAAAUAAAUAUUUUUAUUAUAUGUUUAUUUAAAAAAAAUAUGAUUGACUUGUUAUUAAUAACGUGAUGUAAGUAUGAUAAUGUAGAAUUUGUCGGUUGAAAUACCGUGCGCGUGGGUGUGCAGAGAAAUUAAUUUUACCUGGACCUCAACAUAUAAGUAGUAUAAAAAAUACUAAAGAUUACGUAGAAUUGGCCACGUGCUUUGUGUACUUUAGAUCUAGAAGAGGUUAAGGAUAAGGUCAACGUUUUGGAGUCUUAAUAUAUUAUAUUAUGUUUAUUACAAAGAGGAUUCAAACUUUGUAGUUUUGUUUGAACUAUAAUUAGAAAUUCGAUUUGAAAUUGAUAAUUGAAUUCAAAUUUAAUUUAGAAUUUUCAUUUAAAUUAUAGUAAAAAUUUUGAAUUUGACUUUAAUUUUUGGAUUAUAUAUUUAGUACUUGGAAUCAAUAUUGAAUGUAAAUUUAUAUUAAAAUUUGAGUUGAAAAUGUGAGUUUGAAUUCAUUUAAAAAAAUUAAAAACUUUGCAUCGAAAUCUGAAUCUUAAUUGUGAAUUUUAAAUUUAAAUUCAGUUUUAGAUUUUGAAUUUGAGACUUUGUAUUUGAAUUUGUAUUUGAAAUUUUAAAUUUGAAUGCAGAAUAUGAAUUUGAAUAAAAAUUUAUAUUUUGAAUCCGAAGUUUAAUUAGAAUUGGAAACAAAAAUGUGAAUUUGAAUUUAAUAUUUGGAUUCGAAU